AGAGUUUGAUCCUGGCUCAGGAUGAACGCUAGCGGAGUGCCUAAAACAUGCAAGUCGAACGAGCUCUACCAAGAAGAUAAGAAGUGCUUGCACUGAAGAUUGGAAAGGAUUAUUGAGCAAGUGGCGAACGGGUGAGUAACACGUGCUUAACCUGCCCUGGAGAGUGGGACAACUGUGGAAACGCAGCUAAUCCCGCAUAAUGUAUACCUGAGGAAGAUAGGGUAUAGGAAAGAUUUAUCGCUCUAGGAGGGAGGCGCGGCCUAUCAGUUAGUUGGUGAGGUAGAGGCUCACCAAGACAAGGACGGGUAGCCGGAUUGAGAGGUUGAACGGCCACAAUGGGACUGAGACACGGCCCAUACUCCUACGGGAGGCAGCAGUUAGGAAUCUUGCACAAUGGGGGAAACCCUGAUGCAGCGACUCCGCGUGAAGGAUGAAGCCUUACGGGGUGUAAACUUCUUUUCUGGGGGAAGACGAAUGACGGUACCCCAGGAAUAAGGGACGGCUAACUACGUGCCAGCAGCCGCGGUAAUACGUAGGUCUCGAGCGUUAUUCGGAAUUACUGGGCGUAAAGGGUCCGUAGCCGGUUUGAUAAGUCUAGUUUCAAAGACUUCGACUCAAUCGAAGGAAGGGGGUAGAUACUGUCAAACUAGAAGUAAGUAGGGGCUAAUGGAAUUUCCGGUGGAGAGGUGAAAUUCGUUGAUAUUGGAAGGAAUGCCGAAAGCGAAGGCAGUUAGCUAUACUUAACUUGACGGUGAAGGACGAAAGCUUGGGGAGCGAACGGGAUUAGAUACCCCGGUAGUCCAAGCAGUAAACGAUCCUCGCUAGAUGUUUGUCUGUAUAGAUGAGUGUCGAAGUUAACACGUUAAGCGAGGCGCCUGGGUAGUAUAAUCGCAAGAUUGAAACUCAAAGGAAUAGGCGGGGGAACACACAAGCAGUGGAUUAUCUCGAUUAAUUGGAUAAUAAGCCAAGAAUCUUACCUGGGUUUGACAUCCUUCGAACCUUUUAGAGAUAAGAGGGUGCUCUAUGCAAAUAGAGAGCGAAGAGACAGGCGCUGCAUGGCCGUCGUCAGCUCGUGCCGCGAGGUGUCUAGUUAAGUCUAGAAACGAGCGCAACCCACAUACCUAGUUAGAAUGUCUAGGUAGACUGCCCUUGCAAAAGGGAGGAAGGAGUGGAUGACGUCAGGUCACUAUGGCCCUUAUGUCCAGGGCAUCAGAGGUAAUACAAUGGUAUGUACAGAAGGAUGCGAGACCGUGAGGUGGAGCCAAACCUGAAAGCAUACCUAAGUGCGGAUUGCAGUCUGGAACUCGACUGCAUGAAGUUGGAAUUGCUAGUAAUGGUGAAUCAGCGAAGUCACCGUGAAUAUGUCCCUGUUCCUUGCACUCACCGCCCGUCAUACCAUGGGAGUUGGGGUUCUUUGAAGACUUACGAAGUGGGUUGAAAAGAAAACUGAUGACUGGGGUAAAGUCGUAACAAGGUA
Molecule: ribosomal RNA, 1477 nt
Filed under: metagenome
Description: bacterial SSU rRNA
Rfam family: Bacterial small subunit ribosomal RNA
Source: RNAcentral